Molecule: long non-coding RNA, 4752 nt
Filed under: Arabidopsis thaliana (thale cress)
Lineage: Eukaryota; Viridiplantae; Streptophyta; Magnoliopsida; Brassicales; Brassicaceae
Description: long non-coding RNA (ATHA_LNC000390)
Source: RNAcentral
GAACCAACCCUGCACAAACACUAAUAACUCAGCUCCAGUCCCUGGAAAUAACCUCCUCGCUAAAUGCAGUCUCAACACAACCGUAGUCAGAGACGGUGUGAUCAUGCAAGUCUGUUUUCCUAAGCAUGAUAAGAACCCUGACUUGAGCAAUUUCAACAGUGUCGUACUCAAGAACUUGAAUGAUUCUAAGAUCACUGGAAUUGGUAUUGGUUCUGGUGAUAUUUGGGUUGUUGUCAUCCUCACUACAAACACACCGGAAGGCGGCUAUUCUCUUUUAACAACUACUAACUCAGGAGCUUAUGCAUUCGGAGUUAAUGGCCUUGUUUCUUCAAGUUUCUUGUUUCUUCUCUUUUGUUUCUUCAUGUUUUGAGUCCCUUUUUUGGUGUUUUUUAUGUCACCUCGUUGUCUUUGGUUCUUGAAUAUGUUGUGAUUAUGGUGAGCAAAUCGCCUUUCUUAAAGUUUCCUCUUACUAAUUGUGAUUGAGUAAAUACGAAAAAUCCUUUUAUAAGCCCCAAAAUCAAAUCCCAUACAAACAGGAAUGAACGUAACUAAGAAUAUGGAGCCUAGCUAGCAGCUAUAUAUGCCUAAUCAAGUCCCGUGGAGCCACGCAGCACGGGGCAGAGAGGGAGAUUCUGCAGUCAGCAGAAGCCACCAUUUUCGCAAGAUAAGAUAAGAGAGUUUCCAUGGAGUUGCAUUUUAGUUGAUUCUUGGAAGGAUCAUUUGUUCUACCCUAUCUUCAUCAAGUCAUACAACAUCAGUUUUUGUUUUGUAUUCAGAUUUUAAGACGUUCCUCUAUUGUCUAUUUGUCUUGAUCUGUCUUGCAAUGGCAUAUUCUGCUGGAGGAAACCUAUGUCAAGGAAAGAUACACAAAAUUUGCCGGAUGAAAUAGUGUUAACAAUAUUUUUCUUAGAGCAUACUCAUUGCUGAACUAUUUUUUUGAAUGUUUCAAAACCAAAAUAUUAAAUAUUUUAAUAUCAAAAACAAACUAACUAUUAAAAAGAAGACAUACGGAGAAAAGAGUCUUUAAACAAACGUUACAAGGUCUUAAAUGUCUCUAGGAAGACACAUAUCUCAUAUCGAUUCUUUAAAUUCUUUUAUUUUUAUGACCAAUGGGGAUGGUCUUAGGAAUAUAAUAUCGCAAUGUUGACCAAUAACCAAUAAUAUUAAUGUAAUUUCGCAAUAUAGUCUAUUAUUUUUAUUUUUAUCUUAUAUUUUAUUUUAUUUUUUUGGUCAAAUUUAGUCUCCUAUCUUAUGUCAUGCAAAUAAUGGAGAUGAUGAUGUAAGAUAAGAAAGAAAAUUCAAGUUUUUGCUGAAUUUAUUAGUAUUUUUGAAAAAAUAAAUAAACUAAGAAUAAAUGUUUGGUGGAUUCAACUAAUUGUAUAUUUAUUCCAAUGUUCAAAAAAUCGUUAGGCGGUAACUAGGUGUUCGAUAGAGACUUAGCACCCAGAGCGAGUAAUCGGAGUCUAGGCGAUAGCACAUUAUUUCUUACUUUUAAAUAUUUUUUUACAAUUUUCUAUCAAAACAUUGGUUAUAAAAUAUGAAAUUUUAAAAAUGUUAUCUAUUUAAAACUUAUUAUAUUUUCACACUUUUAUAUAUAAAAAUAAAAUAAUUUAGUCUUAAAACUAAAAAAGUUGAGAAUAAUUAAUUCAUAAUUUAGAAUUUUAGUACUUAAAUAUUUUGUUUAUCUUACUUUGAUUUAAGUAUUUCACUUAUUCAAGAUGAUGUUAUAUCGAAAAGAAAAAAAAAAACAAAUCAGGCACUAAAUCGGUCAAUUUGACUGAUUUAACCGAUUAAUACUAAUUUUGAACGCCUAAACCAGUAAACCAAUGUUUAUUUACCAUCUAAAUAAAUUUUUUAAACAUUGAUUUAUUAUGUGAGAGAGAAAAAAAACAAACUGAUAGAACCUUUUUUUUUUUUGAACAAACUUGUAGUCUUGUAGAACUCAAUAUCAAGUAUUAAAUGGCCAUAAUUUCGCUCUUAAAUUUGAAUGAAGGAAAGAAACUUCCUACUUGGUGAAAAAAAAACAAAAGGAAAGAAAUACCCCACUAAAACGAGUAACGACAUCUUAAUGGGGUCGUUAUUUUUGUCUACGCGGCAUCAAAUCGAGUGGACAAUAAGAACUAAACCGAAGCAACGACUUUGAAUAGUCAAGCGAAAAGGAGCCAAAUUCUCUAAUAAAUAAGUGAAGAUUCAUCGCCAAGUAUCAUCAGCAAACCUAAAGCUAAAAGUGCCUCUGCAUCAAUGGCGAUUUCCAAGCUCCAUCUAGUACUCUUUCUUCUCUCAGUCUUUCUCUCUCUUCAUCGUCCUGUUCUUUCCAACACCGGUAAACUCUCUCAUUCCGACCAAGAUCUUCUAGAUUUUUCAAUUUAGGUUUCUUGAUCUAGUUCUAGUCUGAAAAUCGUCAAAUCUUGUUUCAUUCAAGCCUAGAUCUUGAUCAAUGGCGAUUACGUUGUUAACUAAACUAUACUUUCGGUGUUCUGUUUUUGAUAUCCACAGAUGGAGAAAACCUUCUAUUUACAGUAUUCAACCAAUACAGAGAAUCAGUAAACCUCACAAACCUAAAAAAGAACAAAAACGCAGAAUGUCUAGCAGACGAAGUCGUAGACCAAUUACAGAACCAACCCUGCACAAACACCACUGGCUCAGCUUCAGUCCCUGGAACAGAUCCUGGAAUCCCAAAUUUCCCUAACCUCCUCGCUAAAUGCCGCCUCAACACAAACGUAACCAGAGACGGUUUGAUAUUGCAAGUUUGUGCUCCUAAGCAUCAUUCGACCCCUGACUUGAGCAGUUUCGCCAAUGUCUUAACAAAGAACCUGAAUGAUUCUAAGUUCACUGGAGCUGGAGUUGGUAUUGAUUCUGAUGGUAUUUGGCUUGUUACCGUCCUCACUACAAACACACCAGGGGGUAGCUAUUCUAACUCAGGAGCUUUUGCAUUCGGAGUUAAUGGCCUUGUUUCUUCAAGUUUGAUGUUUCUUCAUGUUUUGAGUCACAACUCGUUGUCUUUGUUUUCUUAAUAUGACGUGAUUAUGGUGAAAUUUUUAAUAAAUUCGUGUGGCAAUCAAUUAAAGAGAGAAUAACAAUAUAUUAAUUGGAGCAAAUCGCCUUUCUUAUAAAGUUUCCUCUUACCAAGUGUGUGUGAGUUGAGUAAAUAAGAAAACCCUUUUAUAAGCCCGCAAAACCCAUACAAACAGGAAUGAACCGCCAAUGUCCCUAAGAAUAUGGACUCCUAGCAGCUAAACGUGCCUAGUCAAGCCCCGUGGAGCCGCGUAGGCAGAGAGGGGGAGAUAAAAGAGAAGAGGAGAGUGUUGCAUGGAAUUACAUUUUAGUUGAUUUUUGGAAGGAUUUGGUCCACCCUGUCUUCAUCAAGUCACAUACACCACCAGUUAUCAUUUUGUAUUCAUAAUUUUAAGAAAUUGAUCUUUUGUCUUGAUCUGUCUUGCAAUGACAUAUCCUACUGGAGACUUGUAUCAGGAAAAUUCAAAAUUGCCGGAGAAAAUAGUGUUAAGCUUUUUUUAUUUAUGAUAUAUAGAUAUACUUUCCCAAUUUAGAAUCUUCUUGUCGUCUCAUGCCAUGCAAGUAUAAUUGAUGAAUAUGGUGUAAGAAAAAAAAGAGUUAAAACUUAAAAGUCUUUGCUGAAUUUAUUUGUAUUUCUGAAAAAAUAAAUAAACGAGGAAUAAAUGUUUUGUAUAUGGUUGUGAAAAAAAAAUGUGGUAAAACUUCUAUCCAUAUAUUCAUAUCAAUAUCAAGUAUAAAUGGUCAUAAUUACACACUUAAAUUUAAAUGAAGAAAAAUAUAUCCAAUUAAAACGACCGCGUUUGGUAAGUUAGUUAAUUGUCUACGUGUAUCAAAACGAGUGGACAAGAACUAACUAAAGAAGAAAAAGAAAAAAACAAAGCAAACGACUUUGAAGAGUCAAGGCGAAACAACUAAAAAAUCUCAUAAAUAAUAGAGAGAAAAGAUUCAUCAUCACCAAAAGAUCAUAAAAGAAGUAAAGAAGAAGAACUUCUCUGCAUCAAUGGCGAUCUCCAAGCUCCAUCUACUCUUCCUUCUCUCAGUCUUUCUCUCCCUUCAUCCUCUUGUUCUUUCCGACACCGCCGGUAAUUAACUCUCUCAUUUCCCGUCAAUGUCUUCUUGGUUAUUCAAUUUAGGUUCUUGAACUCUAUCGAUCGUAAUUUGUUUACCUAGAUCUGGUCUGAAAUCGUUGAAUCUUCUUAAUUCAAGCUUAGUUCGGUUCUUGAUUUGUGUGUCAUUGUGUGUUCUGUUCUGUUUCGAAUCUUUUUGAAUCGGAUCUUGAUUUUUGUGUGUGUUCUGUUUUCUUUUUGAUAUACACAGAUGAAGAAGAUGUUCUUCUUACAGGCAUCAACAGUUACAGAGCAUCACUAAACCUAACAACCUUAAUACACAACCACAACGCAGAAUGUCUAGCAGACGAAAUCGCAGACCAAUUCAAGAACCAACCUUGCACAAACACCACUGGCUCAGCCUCUGUCCCUGGAACCACACCUGGAUUCCCAAACUUGCCUAACCUCCUCUCAAAAUGCCGCCUCAACCCUACCGUAACUAGAGACGGUGCGAUUUUGCCAGCUUGUGUUCCCAACCUUGAUCCUAGCCUUGUCUUGACCAAUUUCACAAUGUCACAGUACUCCAAGGACCUGAAUGAUUCUAAGUUCACUGGUAUUGGUAUUGGUUCUGAUGAUAAUUGGAUUGUUGUUGUCCUCACUACUAGCACACCGGAGGGUAGCUAUUCUCCGG